UGCUCAUGAUGUCAAUUUAAUUCAAUCUAAAGGACAUAAAGCGAGCGGCAUCUUUUAAUGUCUUUUGGAAAGGCACUUGUAACACAUUAAAUUUACUUUCACCUUUUCAGCUGGGAUUUUAAGGGGCGAGAAAGAAAGAUCAAUUAUUGGCGGAAUUUGAAGUUUCAUUAAAAUCACUUCUCUCUGCCUGUGUCCUUGCGUCGUUUUAAGUGGGCCAUCUGUCUAAACAUCUCUCAGGGUUCUUUUCCCUUUUUUUCUGAUCAUUUCCUCGCCUUAUUCAUGAACCCUAGGAGUCCAGCUUUGUAGUAGUGUUGGAGCUGGAGCAGCCUCCCCCCGCUGAAUACAGCUCUGGGCCUCAGCCUGCGCAAGACUCCCCCCUCUGCCCACUAAGGCACCCCCACCCGUACCCCCUUCACCACAAACUCUUCCAAAUAGCCUCCCCUUUCCUUUUGCGUCCCUUCAUAAGGGCCCACAGAAUGUCUGAACUUGCUACACGCAAAUGACCCGCCUCAUUGUGGCCGGUUCUCCUCGCCCUCCGUCUCUCUCGCUCUCUUCCCCUCUUUGCCUCUCUCCGACCCACCUACUGUUUCAGAUCCCCCUGUCUCUUCCCUCCUUCCCUGCUUCUCCUCCUUAUUGCAGAUUUGUAUGCAGGCUGUGACCUAGGUGGCUACAAAGCACAGCAGAUUAUUCUUGAUCAUUCCUCUGCCCCCCAUGAAGCCAGUUAUGAGAAAAAGAUCCCUUAAUGAUGCUCUGACUAUUAACAGUGUUUUAUGUCCAAAUGUCUGCCCCAUUCUUCUAACAAACUGGUACAAUAUAGACACAAGAAACUUGAGGAGUGACUAGACAUACAUAGGCUUCUGUGAUUAAGCUUGUAAUUGGAUAUUACAGGCUUCACACUGAAUAAAGCAUUCGCUGAUGAUGCACUUUUGGAUUCUUUGACCAAAAGGUCAGAAAGCAAAUAAAUAACAUAUAUAAAGAAUUUCUGCAUUUGUGCUCUGCUGUAGACAUAUGAAAGACUGAGAUUAGACUUGACUGCUGUCUCCUGUCACUGUGCCAGUAUUGUGUCUGUAGUGGGUCCAUCCAGGCCCCCACAUCUCCCAUCUCAUCCCGGGCUCAUCCCUCUGUCUGUAGCAAGACAAGUCGCAGCGCCAGUCUGGCUCACAGCCAGUGUGGAAGCUCUGGGUGUGUUUCUCUGCAGCUCCUCCAGAGUUACUCUAUCCCUCCUGGCUCUCCUUGCUUGUUUGGGCCAUUUCAGUGGAUGCCCAUGUCUUGCUGUGAAAGAGCGUUAUGCAGCCCACAAGUGACCCACAAGUGCCCAAAAAUGAAUACAGUGUGCUAAUAGCUGUGAGAAGACACCCUGGGAGCAACCAUGAAAUAUGUGCAAGGACCCGUGACCACUGAGAUAAUAGCCCCUGACCAGACCAUGGAUUGUCUGUCCACUCUCUCCUCCGCCGCUCUCCCGCUCAGGUUUGGAGUGGCUCAGGUCCAGGACAGAUGGUUUACAGACAAGGCACUAAAUACUAGCCACAGCAGGGCCGGUGCUGGCUAUUUCCUAGCAGGGAGUUUUGUUUGUGGGAGCUUUUUGUGUUCAUCUGCCGAACCACAUCCAGGGCAGAAAGAAGAGAAGAUGGGGGCAGCUCUAAUUAAAGCCCAAGGAAGAGUGUCAUCUGCUGUGAACUCACAACCAGGGGGGCACAGCAAAUCAAUGGACAGCCAGCACUGUCAUCACCAUCAACAGCUCCCGAUCAGAGCAAUUGGAGGAGAACAAAAAGGAGCGAGAAAGACACUACCGGGGAAGCUUCUACCACCUGUGCAGAACCUAAGAGUGCUGAGGGGGAGAGAAAGAGGGAGCCGGGCACAGACAGCCAUGAAAAACACAGACCGAAAUUGUGACGCCAUGGUUCAAUCUAUUGUGAAACACUGGAGAUUUAUCGUUUCUUAGUUAGGGUUAGCAAUUUUGCAAUCAUCACCGUGGACAUCUAUUUUGAUAAACAAAGGUGCAAUUCUAUGACCAGAAUGAUCUAAAGACCUUUUAAAAAUAUAGAUUUCUUUUUCUCCCUCUUGCUUUUGCUAUUGAAUCUAGCGGCUACAUAGAGAGAGAGAGUGCCAACGAUAAACGUUUCUUGCAACAAGAAAAAGUGUUUCCAGCGCAAAUUUAGAGUAUUGAACUCUGCAAGUGGUAUCAGUGCUCUCCUGUCUGUGUGAACUGUGCCUCCGGGCCAGAGAGUUGAGGUGCGCUGGAUCAGAUUCUUACACAAACACGGCCACAUAGACGGCAUGUUCUCGUGGCAUUAGCAUUCCAAAUGUUUUUUCGAGACGAACGUGAAUGCGACUAUUUUUGUCUCAUAACGCGCACUCUCAGAUAGCCCCUUUUGAAUAAAUGAAUUCUGACAAGGGGAAUCUGCAUACAAAAACACAGCAGGUUUUAAGGCAGCGGCUGGUCGACCAGCGAAGACCUCUGAAGUCCUCUCUGAAUCUCUUCAUUCAUCGCCUGCUCCUUACGGGCCUGCGGCUCUUUAAAUGGCCGCCUGUGUUUGUGCUGUGUUCACACUGGCGGUUAGAGAGGCAGCGAGGCAUACACCAACACAUUAAGUCCUCUGUGUUUGUGGUUGGCACCUGCAAAUCCUUUUACUUGCCAUAAUGUCAUGCAGAAAUGUGUUGAAUUUAAAAUGUGUUCUUAAAGGAAGCUGGAGUGUGAUUCUGUGAACAAAAUAGGAAAAAGCAGCGUAUUUGUUUUUGCCUUCAGGUAGGCACAAAUUUAUUGGUCUUUGUGUCAGAAAUUCAGACACGUGAACUGUUAGACCAAACCAUUUCUAAGAGCUCUAAACUUUCUACACUUUUAUCUUGCAGGGUCAAAAACUAUUUGAUUUGUGUUUUGUUUUGCUGUCAAGUUCUAGCCAAUCCCAAUGUGCUGAGUUAACCUAAAAACAGGGUUAGAGUGACCAGUGUGUCACACUGAGGCAGCCAAAGAGUGGCCUAAAAAUGACAAUGAGCUAAACUACAAAAAAGUAUAUACAGUAUAUAUAUAUAUAUAUAUAUAUAUAUAUAUAUAUAUAUAUAUAUACACACACACACACCUACACACACGUUAUGUGUUACAAUGUUUUCAAUUAAGUAUAGACAACAAUCUUAUAAAUUGUCUAAAUUAUGAUGACAAAUUUUGUCAUCUUUGUUGACAAAUUUAAUAUAAAUAGUAAAAUUCCUACUUAACAUCCCUUUAUAGAAAUUUGUAAUAGUCCUAUUCUUGUUCUCUUUUGUUAAAACUCCAAGAUCACAUUUUGAAACGAACACAGCUAAAACCAGGAAUAAAGCUGUAAUACAGUAGCAAGAGAAAUAUAUGUGGAAGAAAAUAUAGUUUCUUAGGCGGACUGUAUUGACUGCAUGACCAGUUUGGUCAACGUGAUUGUUCAACACAACAAGCACAAGCUUAGUUUAGCUUCUUCACAUGUAAAACAUGAAGGUCGUCUAGAGUAAAUCAAACUGACAAUUGCCUUAUUUUACCCUCUAAUCAUUUCCUAUUUCACUGUGUGUGGAAGAACACUGAAAUCUGAUCAGGUCGUGGAGCCAGGUUGGUUUUGAUGGUUCUUUUUCUCUGAAACACUGACUUCCUUUAAGUCUCGACUAAAAACCGACUUGUUUAGAGUUGUAUUUGAAACAUAAUCAAUUACGAAUUUAAUGAAGGCACUUGACUUAAUGUAAAGUUUUGA
Molecule: long non-coding RNA, 3707 nt
Organism: Xiphophorus hellerii (green swordtail)
Lineage: Eukaryota; Metazoa; Chordata; Actinopteri; Cyprinodontiformes; Poeciliidae
Exons: 4
Source: RefSeq, a predicted model, not a curated record